RNAcentral lists this ribosomal RNA (415 nucleotides) under uncultured bacterium. RNAcentral describes it as "bacterial SSU rRNA". It matches the Rfam family "Bacterial small subunit ribosomal RNA", at positions 508 to 921 of the family's 1533-position model. The record is from RNAcentral.
ACAGCAGCCGCGGUAAUACGUAGGGUGCGAGCGUUAAUCGGAAUUACUGGGCGUAAAGGGUGCGCAGGCGGUUUCGCAAGUCAGGCGUGAAAGCCCCGGGCUUAACCUGGGAAUGGCGCUUGAAACUACGGGACUGGAGUAUGGCAGAGGGAGGUGGAAUUCCACGUGUAGCGGUGAAAUGCGUAGAGAUGUGGAGGAACACCGAUGGCGAAGGCAGCCUCCUGGGCCAAUACUGACGCUCAUGCACGAAAGCGUGGGGAGCAAACAGGAUUAGAUACCCUGGUAGUCCACGCCCUAAACGAUGAUGACUAGUUGUUGGAGGAGUUAAAUCCUUUAGUAACGCAGCUAACGCGAGAAGUCAUCCGCCUGGGGAGUACGGUCGCAAGAUUAAAACUUAAAGGAAUUGGCGGGGGAC